This 253-nucleotide ribosomal RNA is filed under the name uncultured bacterium. RNAcentral's name for it is "partial 16S ribosomal RNA". It matches the Rfam family "Bacterial small subunit ribosomal RNA", at positions 524 to 776 of the family's 1533-position model. The record is from RNAcentral.
UACGUAGGGUGCAAGCGUUGUCCGGAAUUAUUGGGCGUAAAGAGCUCGUAGGCGGUUUGUCGCGUCGGCUGUGAAAACUCGGGGCUCAACCCCGAGCCUGCAGUCGAUACGGGCAAACUAGAGUGUGGUAGGGGAGACUGGAAUUCCUGGUGUAGCGGUGAAAUGCGCAGAUAUCAGGAGGAACACCGGCGGCGAAGGCGGUUCUCUGGGCCUGUACUGACGCUGAGGAGCGAAAGCGUGGGGAGCGAACAGG